Molecule: long non-coding RNA, 231 nt
Filed under: Lathyrus oleraceus (garden pea)
Lineage: Eukaryota; Viridiplantae; Streptophyta; Magnoliopsida; Fabales; Fabaceae
Description: Pisum sativum (pea) long non-coding RNA (PSAT_LNC028225)
Source: RNAcentral
UUCAUUUUUAUUUAUGUUUUCUAAUUUUAUUGCUUUCUAGUUAGUUUUAAUUAUGCUUCUAGUUUGUUUUUAAUAAUUACAUGUGCUUGACGAGUCGUAUGUGUAGUUUGUCCAUUUCCCCCAUUUCUUGAGCCAUAACAAUUUUUUUUGAAUAAGAAAACAGUUGUUAUUUCAAAAUUUUGGGUUGUUAGACAAGUUUAGGAUAUGUUGCAAAGACUUGGGAAAACUUUU